GACGAACGCUGGCGGCGUGCUUAACACAUGCCAGUCGAACGGAAAGGCCCUGCUUUUGUGGGGUGCUCGAGUGGCGAACGGGUGAGUAACACGUGAGUAACCUGCCCUUGACUUUGGGAUAACUUCAGGAAACUGGGGCUAAUACCGGAUAGGAGCUCCUGCUGCAUGGUGGGGGUUGGAAAGUUUCGGCGGUUGGGGAUGGACUCGCGGCUUAUCAGCUUGUUGGUGGGGUAGUGGCUUACCAAGGCUUUGACGGGUAGCCGGCCUGAGAGGGUGACCGGCCAAAUUGGGACUGAGAUACGGCCCAGACUCCUACGGGAGGCAGCAGUGGGGAAUAUUGCACAAUGGGCGGAAGCCUGAUGCAGCAACGCCGCGUGCGGGAUGACGGCCUUCGGGCUGUAAACCGCUUUCGCCUGUGACGAAGCGUGAGUGACGGUAAUGGGUAAAGAAGCACCGGCUAACUACGUG
This 468-nucleotide ribosomal RNA is filed under the name uncultured bacterium. Its description in RNAcentral is "partial 16S ribosomal RNA". It matches the Rfam family "Bacterial small subunit ribosomal RNA", at positions 28 to 507 of the family's 1533-position model. The record is from RNAcentral.